Molecule: ribosomal RNA, 283 nt
Filed under: uncultured bacterium
Lineage: Bacteria
Description: partial 16S ribosomal RNA
Rfam family: Bacterial small subunit ribosomal RNA (bases 41-276)
Source: RNAcentral
AUGAGGUGGCGGGACGGGGUCGGAGGUAAACGGACCGGUCGGGGCGGAACCCUACGGCCGUCGUACAGGGGAGGUAACACUUAGAAAUAGGUGCUAAUACCGCAUAACGGGGGAAGCCGCAUGGCUUUUCCCUGAAAACUCCGGUGGUACAGGAUGGGCCCGCGUCUGAUUAGCCAGUUGGUAGGGUAACGGCCUACCAAAGCGACGAUCAGUAGCCGGCCUGAGAGGGCGGACGGCCACACUGGGACUGAGACACGGCCCAGACUCCUACGGGAGGCAGCAG